RNAcentral lists this unclassified non-coding RNA (339 nucleotides) under soil metagenome. RNAcentral's name for it is "partial contains 5.8S ribosomal RNA, internal transcribed spacer 2, and large subunit ribosomal RNA". The stretch from base 1 to 120 matches the Rfam family "5.8S ribosomal RNA", at positions 35 to 154 of the family's 154-position model. The record is from RNAcentral.
GAUGAAGAACGUAGCGAAAUGCGAUACGUAGUGUGAAUUGCAGAAUUCAGUGAAUCAUCGAAUCUUUGAACGAACAUUGCACCUCUCGGUAUUCCGGGAGGUAUGCCUGUUCGAGCGUCAUUUGUACCCUCAAGCUCUGCUUGGUGUUGGGUGUUUGUUCCGCCUCUGUGUGUGAACUCGCCUCAAAACAAUUGGCAGCCGGCGUACUUGUUUCGGAGCGCAGCACAUUUUGCGAUCCAGAUCAACGUACAGCGGCAUCCAAGAAGCCUUAUUUAACGCUCUUGACCUCGGAUCAGGUAGGGAUACCCGCUGAACUUAAGCAUAUCAAUAAGCGGAGGA